Molecule: ribosomal RNA, 322 nt
Filed under: uncultured soil bacterium
Lineage: Bacteria
Description: bacterial SSU rRNA
Rfam family: Bacterial small subunit ribosomal RNA
Source: RNAcentral
AGGAUGAACGCUGGCGGCGUGCCUAAUACAUGCAAGUCGAGCGAACAGACGAGGAGCUUGCUCCUCUGACGUUAGCGGCGGACGGGUGAGUAACACGUGGAUAACCUACCUAUAAGACUGGGAUAACUUCGGGAAACCGGAGCUAAUACCGGAUAAUAUAUUGAACCGCAUGGUUCAAUAGUGAAAGACGGUUUUGCUGUCACUUAUAGAUGGAUCCGCGCCGCAUUAGCUAGUUGGUAAGGUAACGGCUUAACCAAGGCAACGAUGCGUAGCCGACCUGAGAGGGUGAUCGGCCACACUGGAACUGAGACACGGUCAGACU